UUCACGUUUUAAACGAUAGACGGCGUUAAAUUGUUGUCCUUUUCACGUUUUAAACGGCAGACGGCGCUUGCUAGCAUAUUUUAUUUUAUAUCGAUUAGCUGUCAACGUAAUGACAUUAGAUAGAUAAAAAUCAACGAUAGCAAAGGAGGAUUUUUGUAUCCUGUUAUAAAGCAGUCAAUGUCUUGAAAGUUCACGGAAAAAGUGUUCGAGGCUAUGCUUUGAACUGUACUGUCGCCUCUCAAGCAAUGCCGAAGAGGAUAACGAACGCGAAAAUCGCAUGUCUAGACUUCUCGUUGCAAAAAAGCUGAUCUGAAAAGAAUUGCUAAAGCUACAGUCUCUGCUGGGUUUGAUCACCCUCUGUGUGGUUUCACCAAAACGACGUCCUCCACUUAAGCAGGACACGCAGGAUCGAUCAGCGCAGAAUGCCAGCCUGUUUGUCAGAUUUCUCUCUAUCGCACAAAAGUUUGGCGGUUGAAUUCAGAGAAGAAAAACCCGAAAGAAAAAAAGAAGCUGAUUGUUCUAUAUUUAUUGAGU
Molecule: long non-coding RNA, 534 nt
Organism: Cyphomyrmex costatus
Lineage: Eukaryota; Metazoa; Arthropoda; Insecta; Hymenoptera; Formicidae
Exons: 3
Source: RefSeq, a predicted model, not a curated record